UUAUCUUUUGUUCUUAUCAUUAUCUAGAUUAUUUUGAUGUCAGCUUGAGCUUUAUUUCAGCUAUUAGCAAUGAGAGUCAUUGCAACUUGCCUAUAAAUUUAAUGUCUUUAAUGGUUGCAGAAAUCAUAUGAAACUAAACAGUAUAAGAAGGGGCUGAUCGCAAACUUGCAUAUGAACAAUCAAGGGAGCACUGGCUUUAGAAGAAGGACUCUCCAAAGGCCUUCCAAUUCAGACUCCAGGAGGUAUAUUGCAAUGGUGGAAAUGUGCCAAGUUGCUGGCAAUAGAUAUCAGGACUUGCUAUGUUGUCAAAGAUGAGAUCAACUUGAAGACUCACAGAAGACCGGAGAUCAAAAGCUGAUAGAUUUAAAGUAGAAAUAAAUUAGCUUAAAUAUAUAGUUGUAGCCUUAUAGGUGUUUUUGGAUUUAGUUAGUAUUUUUUGAUGAAUCUGGAUUUAGUUAGUGUAACUGAAUAUAUUAAUUU
Long non-coding RNA from Mercurialis annua (annual mercury), 480 nucleotides. RefSeq lists it as uncharacterized. Lineage: Eukaryota; Viridiplantae; Streptophyta; Magnoliopsida; Malpighiales; Euphorbiaceae. The record is from RefSeq and is a predicted model, not a curated record. The transcript has 4 exons.